CCUACGGGUGGCAGCAGUGAGGAAUAUUGGUCAAUGGACGAGAGUCUGAACCAGCCAAGUAGCGUGAAGGAUGACUGCCCUAUGGGUUGUAAACUUCUUUUAUAUGGGAAUAAAACGUUCCACGUGUGGGAUUUUGUAUGUACCAUAUGAAUAAGGAUCGGCUAACUCCGUGCCAGCAGCCGCGGUAAUACGGAGGAUCCGAGCGUUAUCCGGAUUUAUUGGGUUUAAAGGGAGCGUAGGUGGAUUGUUAAGUCAGUUGUGAAAGUUUGCGGCUCAACCGUAAAAUUGCAGUUGAAACUGGCAGUCUUGAGUACAGUAGAGGUGGGCGGAAUUCGUGGUGUAGCGGUGAAAUGCUUAGAUAUCACGAAGAACUCCGAUUGCGAAGGCAGUUCACUGGACUGCAAUUGACACUGAGGCUCGAAAGUGUGGGUAUCAAACAGGAUUAGAUACCCUUGUAGUC
Molecule: ribosomal RNA, 460 nt
Filed under: uncultured bacterium
Lineage: Bacteria
Description: partial 16S ribosomal RNA
Rfam family: Bacterial small subunit ribosomal RNA
Source: RNAcentral